GACGAAGGGGGCUAGCGUUGUCCGGAAUUAUUGGGCGUAAAGGGCGCGUAGGCGGAUCUUUAAGUCUGGUGUGAAAGAUCAGGGCUCAACCCUGAGAGUGCAUCGGAAACUGGGGAUCUUGAGGACAGGAGAGGAAAGUGGAAUUCCUAGUGUAGCGGUGAAAUGCGUAGAUAUUAGGAGGAACACCAGUGGCGAAGGCGACUUUCUGGACUGUAACUGACGCUGAGGCGCGAAAGCGUGGGGAGCAAACAGG
This 253-nucleotide ribosomal RNA is filed under the name uncultured Desulfosporosinus sp. Its description in RNAcentral is "partial 16S ribosomal RNA". It matches the Rfam family "Bacterial small subunit ribosomal RNA", at positions 524 to 776 of the family's 1533-position model. The record is from RNAcentral. Lineage: Bacteria; Bacillati; Bacillota; Clostridia; Eubacteriales; Desulfitobacteriaceae.